Molecule: non-coding RNA, 45 nt
Filed under: Schistosoma margrebowiei
Lineage: Eukaryota; Metazoa; Platyhelminthes; Trematoda; Strigeidida; Schistosomatidae
Source: RNAcentral
AUCCAAUAGACGAGUCCCAAAUAAGAUGAAACGCGCGUCCUGGAU